GAUGAAGACGUAGCGAAAUGCGAUAAGUAAUGUGAAUUGCAGAAUUCAGUGAAUCAUCGAAUCUUUGAACGCACAUUGCGCCCCCCAGUAUUCUGGCGGGCAUGCCUGUUCGAGCGUCAUUUCAACCAUCAAGCCCUGCUUGUGUUGGGGUCCUGCGGCUGCCCGCAGGCCCUGAAAACCAGUGGCGGGCUCGCUAGUCACACCGAGCGCAGUAGCACAUCUCGCUCAGGGCGUGCGGCGGGCUCCAGCCGUUAAAGCACCCACCUUUCGCAAGGUUGACCUCGGAUCAGGUAGGAAUACCCGCUGAACUUAAGCAUAUCAAUAAGCGGAGGA
Molecule: unclassified non-coding RNA, 333 nt
Filed under: soil metagenome
Description: partial contains 5.8S ribosomal RNA, internal transcribed spacer 2, and large subunit ribosomal RNA
Rfam family: 5.8S ribosomal RNA (bases 1-119)
Source: RNAcentral